CUUCGCCUAAGGAUCGGCCCGCGUACUAUUAGCUAGUUGGUGAGGUAACGGCUCACCAAGGCGACGAUAGUUAUCCGGCCUAAGAGGGUGAACGGACACAUUGGGACUGAGAUACGGCCCAGACUCCUACGGGAGGCAGCAGCUAAGAAUAUUCCGCAAUGGAGGAAACUCGUGACGGAGCGACGCCGCGUGGAUGAUGAAGGCCGGAAGGUUGUAAAAUCCUUUUAAGCAAGAAGAAUAAACUUUACAGGGAAUGGUAGAGUGGUGACGGUAUUGCUUGAAUAAGCAACGGCUAAUUACCGUG
This 304-nucleotide ribosomal RNA is filed under the name uncultured bacterium. Its description in RNAcentral is "bacterial SSU rRNA". It matches the Rfam family "Bacterial small subunit ribosomal RNA", at positions 213 to 507 of the family's 1533-position model. The record is from RNAcentral.